RNAcentral lists this ribosomal RNA (514 nucleotides) under Tobrilus gracilis. RNAcentral's name for it is "LSU rRNA". It matches the Rfam family "Eukaryotic large subunit ribosomal RNA", at positions 655 to 1147 of the family's 3401-position model. Lineage: Eukaryota; Metazoa; Nematoda; Enoplea; Triplonchida; Tobrilidae. The record is from RNAcentral.
UGAAACACGGACCAAGGAGUCUAACAUGUACGCAAGUCAUGGGGUUGCAAAACCCACUGGCGCAAUGAAAGUGAAGGUCAAUUCGGUUGGCCAAGGUAGGAUCCCCAGUCAACUGGGGCGCACUACCGUCCCAUCGCAUCUGCUUGUCAGAGCGGUGGAGAAAGAGCGUACACGUUGGGACCCGAAAGAUGGUGAACUAUGCCUGAGCAGGAUGAAGCCAGAGGAAACUCUGGUGGAGGUCCGUAGCGGUUCUGACGUGCAAAUCGAUCGUCAGACUUGGGUAUAGGGGCGAAAGACUAAUCGAACCAUCUAGUAGCUGGUUCCCUCCGAAGUUUCCCUCAGGAUAGCUGGCACUUAGAACGCAGUUUUACCCGGUAAAGCGAAUGAUUAGAGGCCUUGGGGACGAAACGACCUCAACCUAUUCUCAAACUUUAAAUGGGUAAGAAGUCUCGCUUGCCUGACCGAAGCUCAGACAUUGAAUGCGAGUGCCAAGUGGGCCAUUUUUGGUAAGCAG